This 632-nucleotide ribosomal RNA is filed under the name Agromyces sp. So2Pt_54. RNAcentral's name for it is "bacterial SSU rRNA". It matches the Rfam family "Bacterial small subunit ribosomal RNA", at positions 380 to 1017 of the family's 1533-position model. The record is from RNAcentral. Lineage: Bacteria; Bacillati; Actinomycetota; Actinomycetes; Micrococcales; Microbacteriaceae.
AGCCUGAUGCAGCAACGCCGCGUGAGGGAUGACGGCCUUCGGGUUGUAAACCUCUUUUAGUAGGGAAGAAGGGCUUCGGCUUGACGGUACCUGCAGAAAAAGCACCGGCUAACUACGUGCCAGCAGCCGCGGUAAUACGUAGGGUGCGAGCGUUGUCCGGAAUUAUUGGGCGUAAAGAGCUCGUAGGCGGUUUGUCACGUCUGCUGUGAAAUCCCGAGGCUCAACCUCGGGCCUGCAGUGGGUACGGGCAGACUGGAGUGCGGUAGGGGAGAAUGGAAUUCCUGGUGUAGCGGUGGAAUGCGCAGAUAUCAGGAGGAACACCGAUGGCGAAGGCAGUUCUCUGGGCCGUAACUGACGCUGAGGAGCGAAAGCGUGGGGAGCGAACAGGAUUAGAUACCCUGGUAGUCCACGCCGUAAACGUUGGGCGCUAGAUGUGGGGACCUUUCCACGGUUUCCGUGUCGUAGCUAACGCAUUAAGCGCCCCGCCUGGGGAGUACGGCCGCAAGGCUAAAACUCAAAGGAAUUGACGGGGGCCCGCACAAGCGGCGGAGCAUGCGGAUUAAUUCGAUGCAACGCGAAGAACCUUACCAAGGCUUGACAUAACCGAGAACGCCGCAGAAAUGUGGAACUCU